GAUCCCUACACUUCUUCCUAUUUUUUUCUUAAUUUUUUCUAUUUUUUUCUACAUCUUCUCUACUAUUUUUUUACUAUUCCCAGAUCCCUUUAUUUGUAGAUAAUUUUUUUCUCAAAUUUUGGUAGAAAAUGUAGUCCCAAAAGCCUUCAAAUUGGUGUCUAUCCCGCAUCACAUCUUCCUGCCCAUCAGAUCUUGUUUGAAUGCA
RNAcentral lists this long non-coding RNA (205 nucleotides) under Elaeis guineensis (African oil palm). Its description in RNAcentral is "long non-coding RNA (EGUI_LNC043034)". The record is from RNAcentral. Lineage: Eukaryota; Viridiplantae; Streptophyta; Magnoliopsida; Arecales; Arecaceae.